GAUGAACGCUGGCGGCGUGCCUAAUACAUGCAAGUCGAGCGAACAGACGAGGAGCUUGCUCCUCUGACGUUAGCGGCGGACGGGUGAGUAACACGUGGAUAACCUACCUAUAAGACUGGGAUAACUUCGGGAAACCGGAGCUAAUACCGGAUAAUAUAUUGAACCGCAUGGUUCAAUAGUGAAAGACGGUUUUGCUGUCACUUAUAGAUGGAUCCGCGCCGCAUUAGCUAGUUGGUAAGGUAACGGCUUACCAAGGCAACGAUGCGUAGCCGACCUGAGAGGGUGAUCGGCCACCCUGGAACUGAGACACGGUCCAGACUCCUACGGGAGGCAGCAGUAGGGAACCGUCCGCAAUGGGCGAAAGCCUGACGGAGCAACGCGGCGUGAGUGAUGAAGGUCUUCGGAUCGUAAAACUCUGUUAUUAGGGAAGAACAAAUGUGUAAGUAACUAUGCACGUCUUGACGGUACCUAAUCAGAAAGCCACGGCUAACUACGUG
This 497-nucleotide ribosomal RNA is filed under the name uncultured bacterium. RNAcentral's name for it is "partial 16S ribosomal RNA". It matches the Rfam family "Bacterial small subunit ribosomal RNA", at positions 28 to 507 of the family's 1533-position model. The record is from RNAcentral.